RNAcentral lists this ribosomal RNA (253 nucleotides) under uncultured bacterium. RNAcentral describes it as "partial 16S ribosomal RNA". It matches the Rfam family "Bacterial small subunit ribosomal RNA", at positions 524 to 776 of the family's 1533-position model. The record is from RNAcentral.
UACGAAGGGGGCGAGCGUUGUUCGGAGUUACUGGGCGUAAAGGGUGCGUAGGCGGCUUCUUAAGUCUGGUGUGAAAUCUCCCGGCUCAACUGGGAGGGUGCGCCGGAUACUGAGGGGCUAGAGUGUGGGAGAGGAAAGUGGAAUUCCUGGUGUAGCGGUGAAAUGCGUAGAUAUCAGGAGGAACACCGGUGGUGUAAACGGCUUUCUGGACCAUAACUGACGCUGAGGCACGAAAGCGUGGGUAGCAAACAGG